RNAcentral lists this unclassified non-coding RNA (345 nucleotides) under soil metagenome. RNAcentral's name for it is "partial contains 5.8S ribosomal RNA, internal transcribed spacer 2, and large subunit ribosomal RNA". The stretch from base 3 to 120 matches the Rfam family "5.8S ribosomal RNA", at positions 37 to 154 of the family's 154-position model. The record is from RNAcentral.
GGUGAAGAACGUAGCGAAAUGCGAUACGUAAUGUGAAUUGCAGAAUUCAGUGAAUCAUCGAGUCUUUGAACGCACAUUGCGCCCUCUGGUAUUCCGGAGGGCAUGCCUGUCCGAGCGUCAUUGCUGCCCUCAAGCACGGCUUGUGUGUUGGGCCCCGCCCCCCGAUCCCGGGGGGCGGGCCCGAAAGGCAGCGGCGGCACCGCGUCCGGUCCUCGAGCGUAUGGGGCUUUGUCACCCGCUCUGUAGGCCCGGCCGGCGCUUGCCGAUCAACCAAACUUUUUUCCAGGUUGACCUCGGAUCAGGUAGGGAUACCCGCUGAACUUAAGCAUAUCAAUAAGCGGAGGA